This 348-nucleotide ribosomal RNA is filed under the name uncultured Pelotomaculum sp. RNAcentral's name for it is "bacterial SSU rRNA". It matches the Rfam family "Bacterial small subunit ribosomal RNA", at positions 1034 to 1382 of the family's 1533-position model. The record is from RNAcentral. Lineage: Bacteria; Bacillati; Bacillota; Clostridia; Eubacteriales; Desulfotomaculaceae.
ACAGGUGGUGCAUGGUUGUCGUCAGCUCGUGUCGUGAGAUGUUGGGUUAAGUCCCGCAACGAGCGCAACCCCUACGUUUAGUUGCUAACGCGUGAAGGCGAGCACUCUAGACGAACUGCCGUUGACAAAACGGAGGAAGGUGGGGAUGACGUCAAUCAUCAUGCCCCUUAUGUUCUGGGCUACACACGUGCUACAAUGGCCGGUACAGACGGACGCAAAGCCGCGAGGUGGAGCAAAUCCUAAAAGGCCGGUCUCAGUUCGGAUUGCAGGCUGCAAUUCGCCUGCAUGAAGUCGGAAUCGCUAGUAAUCGCAGGUCAGCAUACUGCGGUGAAUACGUUCCCGGGCCUU